RNAcentral lists this ribosomal RNA (591 nucleotides) under uncultured prokaryote. RNAcentral describes it as "bacterial SSU rRNA". It matches the Rfam family "Bacterial small subunit ribosomal RNA", at positions 40 to 653 of the family's 1533-position model. The record is from RNAcentral.
CGGCGUGCUUAACACAUGCAAGUCGAGCGAGAAACCUUCGGGUUUCUAGCGGCGGACGGGUGAGUAACACGUGGGUAACCUGCCUCAAAGAGGGGAAUAGCCUCCCGAAAGGGAGAUUAAUACCGCAUAAUAUUAAAGUUUCACAUGGAGCUUUAAUUAAAGGAGUAAUCCGCUUUGAGAUGGACCCGCGGCGCAUUAGCUAGUUGGAGAGGUAACGGCUUCACCAAGGCGACGAUGCGUGGCCGACCUGAGAGGGUGAUCGGCCACAUUGGAACUGAGACACGGUCCAGACUCCUACGGGAGGCAGCAGUGGGGAAUAUUGCACAAUGGGCGAAAGCCUGAUGCAGCAACGCCGCGUGAGUGAUGACGGUCUUCGGAUUGUAAAGCUCUGUCUUUUGGGACGAUAAUGACGGUACCAAAGGAGGAAGCCACGGCUAACUACGUGCCAGCAGCCGCGGUAAUACGUAGGUGGCAAGCGUUGUCCGGAUUUANUGGGCGUAAAGGAUGUGUAGGCGGAUACUUAAGUGAGAUGUGAAAGCCCCGGGCUCAACCUGGGGACUGCAUUUCAAACUGGGUAUCUAGAGUGCAGGA